UAUUAGAAAUUUUAAAGAACUCUAUCCAACUUUUUAUAGUAAUCCAGAAAUCAAAACACCUAAAAUCACUUUCAUUGCAGUUUCAUUCAGGCAGAUAGGAGCUUAGAUGACAACAUGCUUCUUAGGGGAGAGUGUCAUAGAUUGGUGCUUUGCAGCUUGCUGAAGUGAUAAGGAUUGCAUUCACUGACAUUCCAGGUGAUACCAGAUUAAUUUCUAGUACAUCCCCAAAAAACCUAUCAAAUAAUGCAAGGGUCAUAUUUAAGUAUGGAAACAUUUAAAUUCAAACUGUAAUUUGAGGACUGCACAAAAGAUGUUUUAAAGUGUUUCAUAAAUUUGGUAUUUUUAUAAAAAUAACAAUGUUCUGCAUGUUGAUGAGUAUGCACCUAGGAACAAUAGACAGGCUGAUCAUCAGUCUUGCUAUCUUUUGGCAGCCUUGGAGGGGGAGGGGUUAGAGAUGUUGAUUGUAUAGUUUUGGGGGUUUUAAUUAUCCAUAAUUCUGCUAUCCCCUAUGACUGCAGGUAACUGAGAGUUGGCUAUAUAUGAAAGGUAUGAAAACUAUGUGACAGUUUAGAUGACAGCUGAGAUCAAUUAUUUGACUCAACUCAGUUGUAUUGACCCACAAGGUGUCACCAAUAAUGGUUUUAUCAUUUUGGAAGUGGUUUCAACAUGUAGUUGUUUCUUUGGCUGCUUGGGUCUUAGUGGUGUAUCAAGCAGACUGCAGUUCUGGGCAACAGAGCUUAACUGGCCUCAGACUUGUUGGUUGUCCUGCCUCUGGAAUGGAAAUGCAUGAGUGAUCCUGUAAUGGAUACUGCCGUGAUGUGGAAUGUCCAUGGGAUUUGGAGUCCCAAGACCUAGAUUUAGAGAACCCUGUUCUACCACUCAGUAGCUGCAUGACCUUGAGCAAGUCACUUUUUUAAAGUGUUACUAUGCAAGAUUGUAUUCUGGGGUGGGAAUAGCCAACAAUCCCAUGCAGUCAGAUAAUCUUAAGAGUGGCAUAGUUAAUAAUACCUGAGAAAUGCAUUUCCAUGGACGGUAUUACAGGUUGGAAGGGAUUUUUGUUGACAUUUGUAAUUGAGUUAGACAUGGCAAUACAGGGACAAAGUUGGAUUGUUAAACUUUGAAGCAUGUAAAACUAAACUCGCCUGUCAUCUAAACUGGCCACGUGUGGGGCUAGCUUCUACUAUUAAGUGCAGUCUUUGGGGGAUAGAUGGGUAGUUCAUUUUUGUUUCAAGCUAUAUCUAAUGCUUUCACAAAAAAGCAUUUAAAUGUGUAUGUAUAUAAAUUGUCGUCUUCAGUGUUAAAUUAGUUUUGUAAAUAGUGGUAAAAUGCUGGGGCCUUAUAAGAUUGAGUAUUUUGUUUCAGGUUGGGGAUGGCAUUGGUCCUUGCUUUCCUGAAUCUAUUGACAGUUUGGUCUUAUGUAAAGCAAAUUAUAAGUAUAUAUCCAAGCUUAAAAUAAUAAUUGACUCUGGUACAUUUUGAAUGAAAAAGAACAUUAUUCUCCCCUGUUAAUCUAUUUUUGGAAUGUGAUAUUACUAGACUGCCAUAAAGAAGAAUAACCCCAGGAAGUACCUUCGCAGUGUAGGAGAUGGAGAGACUGUGGAGUUUGAUGUUGUUGAAGGAGAAAAGGGUGCGGAGGCAGCAAAUGUUACAGGCCCUGGUGGAGUUCCAUUUCAAGUCAGUAAAUACGCAGCAGACCGUAACCAUUAUAGACGCUAUCCACGUCGUAGGGGUCCUCCACGCAAUUACCAGCAGAAUUACCAGAAUAGUGAGAGUGGGGA
This is a long non-coding RNA of Octodon degus (degu), 1778 nucleotides long. RefSeq lists it as uncharacterized. The transcript has 2 exons. The record is from RefSeq and is a predicted model, not a curated record. Lineage: Eukaryota; Metazoa; Chordata; Mammalia; Rodentia; Octodontidae.